Molecule: ribosomal RNA, 384 nt
Filed under: uncultured bacterium
Lineage: Bacteria
Description: bacterial SSU rRNA
Rfam family: Bacterial small subunit ribosomal RNA
Source: RNAcentral
AACGAACGCUGGCGGCAGGCCUAACACAUGCAAGUCGAGCGCACCUUCGGGUGAGCGGCGGACGGGUUAGUAACGCGUGGGAACAUACCCUUUUCUACGGAAUAGCCUCGGGAAACUGAGAGUAAUACCGUAUACGCCCUUCGGGGGAAAGAUUUAUCGGUGAAGGAUUGGCCCGCGUUUGAUUAGAUAGUUGGUGGGGUAAUGGCCUACCAAGUCUACGAUCAAUAGCUGGUUUGAGAGGAUGAUCAGCAACACUGGGACUGAGACACGGCCCAGACUCCUACGGGAGGCAGCAGUGGGGAAUCUUAGACAAUGGGCGCAAGCCUGAUCUAGCCAUGCCGCGUGAGUGAGGAAGGCCUUAGGGUCGUAAAGCUCUUUCGCCGA